This 497-nucleotide ribosomal RNA is filed under the name uncultured bacterium. RNAcentral describes it as "partial 16S ribosomal RNA". It matches the Rfam family "Bacterial small subunit ribosomal RNA", at positions 28 to 507 of the family's 1533-position model. The record is from RNAcentral.
GAUGAACGCUGGCGGCGUGCCUAAUACAUGCAAGUCGAGCGAACAGAUAAGGAGCUUGCUCCUUUGACGUUAGCGGCGGACGGGUGAGUUACACGUGGAUAACCUACCUAUAAGACUGGGAUAACUUCGGGAAACCGGAGCUAAUACCGGAUAACAUAUUGAACCGCAUGGUUCAAUAGUGAAAGGCGGCUUUGCUGUCACUUAUAGAUGGAUCCGCGCCGUAUUAGCUAGUUGGUAAGGUAACGGCUUACCAAGGCAACGAUACGUAGCCGACCUGAGAGGGUGAUCGGCCACACUGGAACUGAGACACGGUCCAGACUCCUACGGGAGGCAGCAGUAGGGAAUCUUCCGCAAUGGGCGAAAGCCUGACAGAGCAACGCCGCGUGAGUGAUGAAGGUCUUCGGAUCGUAAAACUCUGUUAUCAGGGAAGAACAAAUGUGUAAGUAACUGUGCACAUCUUGACGGUACCUGAUCAGAAAGCCACGGCUAACUACGUG